Molecule: ribosomal RNA, 167 nt
Filed under: uncultured bacterium
Lineage: Bacteria
Description: partial 16S ribosomal RNA
Rfam family: Bacterial small subunit ribosomal RNA
Source: RNAcentral
CAGCAGCAGGGAAUUUUGCACAAUGGGCGCAAGCCUGAUGCAGCGACGCCGCGUGAGCGAUGAAGGCCUUCGGGUCGUAAAGCUCUGUCACGGGGGAUGAACGUCCGGGUGGUUAAGAGCCGCCUGGAGUGACGGUACCCCAGGAGGAAGCCCCGGCUAACUACGUG